CCUACGGGGGGCAGCAGUGGGGAAUAUUGCACAAUGGGCGCAAGCCUGAUGCAGCCAUGCCGCGUGUGUGAAGAAGGCCUUCGGGUUGUAAAGCACUUUCAGCGGGGAGGAAGGCGUUAAGGUUAAUAGCCUUGGCGAUUGACGUUACCCGCAGAAGAAGCACCGGCUAACUCCGUGCCAGCAGCCGCGGUAAUACGGAGGGUGCAAGCGUUAAUCGGAAUUACUGGGCGUAAAGCGCACGCAGGCGGUCUGUCAAGUCGGAUGUGAAAUCCCCGGGCUCAACCUGGGAACUGCAUUCGAAACUGGCAGGCUAGAGUCUUGUAGAGGGGGGUAGAAUUCCAGGUGUAGCGGUGAAAUGCGUAGAGAUCUGGAGGAAUACCGGUGGCGAAGGCGGCCCCCUGGACAAAGACUGACGCUCGGGUGCGAAAGCGUGGGGAGCAAACAGGAUUAGAUACCCGGGUAGUC
This 465-nucleotide ribosomal RNA is filed under the name uncultured Klebsiella sp. RNAcentral describes it as "bacterial SSU rRNA". It matches the Rfam family "Bacterial small subunit ribosomal RNA", at positions 338 to 795 of the family's 1533-position model. The record is from RNAcentral. Lineage: Bacteria; Pseudomonadati; Pseudomonadota; Gammaproteobacteria; Enterobacterales; Enterobacteriaceae.